UACGUAGGGGGCAAGCGUUGUCCGGAAUCAUUGGGCGUAAAGCGCGUGUAGGCGGCUCGGUAAGUCCGCUCUGAAAGUCCAGGGCUCAACCCUGGGAUGCGGGUGGAUACUGCCGGGCUCGAGUCCGGAAGAGGCGAGUGGAAUUCCCGGUGUAGCGGUGAAAUGCGCAGAUAUCGGGAGGAACACCUAUGGCGAAGGCAGCUCGCUGGGACGUUACUGACGCUGAGACGCGAAAGCGUGGGGAGCAAACAGG
Molecule: ribosomal RNA, 253 nt
Filed under: uncultured bacterium
Lineage: Bacteria
Description: partial 16S ribosomal RNA
Rfam family: Bacterial small subunit ribosomal RNA
Source: RNAcentral